CCCUUAGAUGUUCUGGGCCGCACGCGCGCUACACUGAUUCAUGCAACGAGUUUUGUCCUUGGCUGAAAGGCCUGGGUAAUCUUUGAACGUGAAUCGUGCUGGGGAUAGAUGAUUGCAAUUAUUCAUCUUCAACGAGGAAUUCCUAGUAAACGCAAGUCAUCAGCUUGCAUUGAUUACGUCCCUGCCCUUUGUACACACCGCCCGUCGCACCUACCGAUUGAAUGGUCCGGUGAAAUCUUCGGAUCUGAGAGAUGUUGGAUUAAUUUCUGACGCCUUUUGGAAAAGUUGCUUAAACCUUAUCAUUUAGAGGAAGGUGAAGUCGUAACA
RNAcentral lists this ribosomal RNA (327 nucleotides) under uncultured eukaryote. Its description in RNAcentral is "partial 18S ribosomal RNA". It matches the Rfam family "Eukaryotic small subunit ribosomal RNA", at positions 1470 to 1796 of the family's 1831-position model. The record is from RNAcentral.